CCCUUCUCAUUUCAUCUGCACUCUCCACUUCACAACCUGUAACUAACUCCACCCAAAAAACCCAAAUCUCGACCGUUAUUUUUUUCCUAAUCAGGUAAAAUUUCGAUCCCUCUCUUCCAUCGAUCCCCCAUCACUCGAUCCCCUACCAAUUAAGCUCCCCUCCGUUCAAAGAUUUCUCCUUUUUUGGCGCAGGAGCUGGAUUCCGUCGGCGAUGUCGCCGCUUCCGCCUAGGGUUCCGAUCAACAUCAAGAGGAGAGCCGUCUCCGCCGUCCGCGACUUCCCUAAGGGCUGCGGUGUUAAGGUAACCUCAAACCCUAGCCCUAGCGAGGCGGAUGCUGAUGCCGCCUCUGAAGCGAGUAGCUCGCUUAAGGUCCCGAAAGAGGGCUUGAAUGGUUCUGCUAAGGCUCUGAUCGAUUCGGAGGAGUUACGAGCUGAAAAGGGGGGGAUUGAAGGGAAAAGCUUGGAGCUUGCUAACCCUAACCCUGAGGAGAAGGAGGAGGAGAUUGAAGGGAAAGAUUUGGAGCCGCCUAACCCGAAGGAGGCAGUGGGGGAGAUUGAAGGGAAUGAUUUGGGGCUCCCUAACCCUAAACUGAACGGGGAUGUUGAAGGGAAUGAGUUGGCGCUCCCAAACCCUAAUCCUAGCCCAGAGGAGAAGAAAGGGAUGAUUGAAGGGAAGGAUGCGGAGCUGCCGAAUGACGAGGUGGUGAAGGUUAUUGGGCAUGUGGAGGACGAGGAGGGGAUGAGGCAUUUGAAGAAACGUGCGGAUGAGGAGGAUGUUAAGGAGGAGAAGUUGAAUGCGAAGAGAUUUGUUGGUUUGAAGAGGAGGAAGGUCUCGGCGGUUCGAGACUUUCCUCUUGGAUGUGGGAGAGCUUCUUCUAAGAAUUCGAAUGCGGGACCCAUUGCUUCCUCUGAGAGCGAGAGCAAGAGCAAGAGCAGGGCUGUCAAUGAUGAUGAGGUGAGAAUGAACGUCGUAGAGGCCAAGAACUCGGUUGAGGAUGCGGUGAGAGAGAAAGAUGAAACGCAAAUCGGAGAAACAAAUGUUGAUGCCGUUAUUAAGAGACUUGAAGAAGACGGGGUUUUGCCUGGUGAAAAGCACAUGGCCAAGGUUAAAAAUAGUGAGGGCAAGCAAGUUAAUGCUAAGGAGAAGAAAGCCUUGCUGAAGAAAAAGGAUGUUAUGGAAGGUUCGGGCAGUGUUUCUUCUUUAGAAGCGAUCGAGAUGAAGAGAACUGGGAGGAUCACCGAGGAAAUGGAGGAAUCGGACGAGGAUAAGGAUGAGUUUAGGAUAGUGAGGCGGCAAGUUCACAGGGACAGUGAUGAUUUUCAAAAGAGUAGCUCGAGCGAGAGUACAUUGGAAGGUCAAAGAGCGAAGAAAUUGUUGAUUCAAUCUUCUAAGAAGAAGUUGGAAGCUAGUGAUGUGAGACCAGCUAGAAAUAGUCUUCAGGGUAAAGGAUUGCGAGAAGAAAAAGUAGGCAGGAGUUUGGUAGAGAAACCAGUAGAUAAGGGAUCCAUCAAGAGAGUGAAAGAACGUGACGAGUAUUUGGAAGUUUUGGGGGAUAAGGAAAUCGUGCACGCUUUGAUGGCUGCUGAUAACUGUCCAUGGAGGAAGGGGAAAAAGUCAGUUGCUACCAUUUCCCAUUCUAUCACUCCAAGAGUCAAAGCAAAGAAAGCAAAACGAUUGUUAGGUAGCAAUUCUGCUUCUGCCUCCGGCAAAAAAUCUGUAUAUGCACAUGAAAAUAGAGUGGAUAUGGAGGAUGAACAAGAAUCCCAGCUUCAGAAUGAUGAAAAUGAAAUGGCCCUCGCCCUUUAUGAUGGACCCCAAGAGUUAUCUAUCACUAUGACUCCAUCUGUCCCUCCUCAACUAACUCACAAAGACGGAAGCAAUGAAGAGGGCACCAGUCGCAUGAUGGUUAAGAAAACUCUUCGAACGUUUCAAUUGAUGUUUAGGAAGCUCUUAAAAAUGGAAGAAGCAAACUCAAAGGAAAAUGAAAAGAGUCAGAGGAUUGAUUUAAUGGCUGCUGGUAUGUUAAAAAAGAAUAAAGAAUGGGUAAACCAUGAUGGUGAGGCAAUAAUAGGACAUGUACCCGGAGUUGAGGUUGGUGAUGAAUUUCACUACAGGGUGGAGCUCUCUAUCAUCGGAAUUCAUCGUCCUUUUCAAGGCGGAAUUGAUUACACGAAGAAAAAUGGUGUGCAUCUUGCAACAAGUAUUGUGUCAUCUGGGGGUUACCCUGAUGAUGUAGCUAGUUCAGAUGUUUUGAUAUAUUCCGGUUCAGGAGGAAAUGCAGCUGGUGGAGACAAACCAGCAGGAGAUCAGAAACUUGAACGGGGAAACCUGGCUUUAAAGAACAGUAUAGCUGCACAAACACCUGUACGGGUUGUUUAUGGUUCUAAAGAGCUUGUUAAAAGUGAUUCCCGUGGUUCAAAACCCAAGAUGGUGGCCACCUUUAUCUAUGACGGGCUGUACAUAGUUGAGAAAUUCUGGCCAGAGUUGAACAAUAAGGGUUUUAGUGUUUUCAAGUUUCAGUUGAGGAGAAUGGCAGGGCAACCUGAAAUUGCUUUAAAAGAAAUCAAGAAGUCGAAGAAGUCAAAAGAACGGGAAGGCCUUUGUGUGAAAGAUAUAUCCAAUGGAAAAGAAAGGAGACCCAUUUGUGCAGUGAAUACGGUCGAUAGUGAACAGCCAAUGCCUUUUAAAUAUAUUUCUAAGGUCAUGUACCCUUCAUGGUAUGUCAAGAAACCUCCAAUGGGCUGCGAUUGCAAAAACGGGUGCUCGGAUACUGAGAAAUGUGCUUGUGCGAUGAAGAAUGGUGGAGAAAUUCCGUUUAACCACAAUGGCGCUAUUGUUAACGCGAAGCCCCUUGUUUAUGAGUGUGGUCCUUCUUGCAAGUGCCCUCCUUCAUGCCACAAUAGGGUCAGUCAACAUGGUAUUAAACUACCACUGGAGAUUUUCAAGACUAGCAAAAGGGGUUGGGGAGUGAGAUCCUUGUACUCGAUUCCUUCUGGCACUUUCGUGUGCGAGUAUAUAGGAGAAAUGCUUGAGGAUGCAGAUGCUGAGAAGAGGACGACCAAUGAUGAAUAUCUCUUUGAUAUAGGGCAUAACUAUGAAGACCGUGCUCUGUGGGAGGGUCUGCCAAGUUAUAUACCGGGUCUGGAGUUAGAUGCUACCUCUGAGAUUGCCUCUGAGAUGAAGGAUGAUGGUUUCACAAUCGAUGCAGCUGAGUUUGGAAAUAUUGGCAGAUUUAUUAACCAUAGCUGUUCGCCCAACCUUUACGCACAAAAUUUGCUUUAUGAUCAUGAUGAUAAGAGAAUGCCUCACGUAGCUUUCUUUGCUAUUGAUAAUAUCCCUCCACUUCAGGAGCUGACGUAUCAUUACAAUUACACUAUCGAUCAAGUCCGAGAUUCAGAAGGCAACAUUAAAGAGAAAGAAUGUCUAUGCGGUUCUUCUGAGUGCAUUGGCAGGCUUUAUUGACUGAGGCGGUUUUGAGAUGUACAUUUCUCGACUUCCUCUGUUGGCCUUCAUGAAGGUAAAAGGAAAAUUUAGAUGCCCGGGCAUAUUCAAACAAAGUUAAUUGAGAGUCGAGAUAAUAUUCGUGUAUUAGUGGGUGUUGAUAGAGCAGCUGGUGAGGGUCCAAAGCGAAUUGAAGAUUCCGUUGUAGCCAUGGAUGCGGUACGUGCACAUGAAGUGGAGAGCUAUAUAGCAAGGAGCCUUCUAAAUCUUCAUUUUCCGAAUCUAAUAAGAAGCUAAAAAGACACUGUUUAGUAGAUUUUGUGAGAAGUAAGAAAAAUUUGGAGGGUGAGAGAGACAUGCCAAGGUGUCUAAAGCGUCAGGUAUUCUUCUGUAUUAAGUUUUAAGAGUUGUUAAGAGGCUCAUGAAUGAUAUUAUGGAUGAGUUUCAAAUGCUGAAUGGUCUUCCUGACGAUGACGAAGAGGUUCGUGAAUGAUGCUAUAGAUGAGUUUCGAAUUCUAAAGAAGCCUCGUGAUGAUGGCGAGUUAGAAUGGAUUUCCGCUAUAUCUUAAGAACCCGACUUUGUAGGGAGAUGAUGAAAUUUGUAGGGAGAGUUCAACUAUGUUUUUGUGUUUUGAUGGUGAUUUUAGAUGUUAAGAGUCUUCAAAAUAUUGGGUUUAUACUUUGCUUGGGUGAUUUUCUA
RNA transcript from Asparagus officinalis (garden asparagus), 4142 nucleotides. It is a transcript of the gene named histone-lysine N-methyltransferase, H3 lysine-9 specific SUVH6-like, with no coding region annotated. The transcript has 2 exons. Lineage: Eukaryota; Viridiplantae; Streptophyta; Magnoliopsida; Asparagales; Asparagaceae. The record is from RefSeq and is a predicted model, not a curated record.